This 429-nucleotide small RNA is filed under the name Pongo abelii (Sumatran orangutan). RNAcentral describes it as "retained intron". Lineage: Eukaryota; Metazoa; Chordata; Mammalia; Primates; Hominidae. The record is from RNAcentral.
GGGGCGGUUUCUGUUUUGUUUUAAAUCAUGGUUCACUUCGUAGGACUGACGUCUGCACUGGGCUGGGUCUUUUGGUUCUGCAGAUUGAAAAGUUACAAACCCAGCUGGAGAGAGAAAAGCAGAGCAGCCAAGACCUGGAGACCCUCAGUGAGGAGCUGAUCAGAGAGAAGGAGCAGCUGCAGAGUGACAUGGAGACCCUGAAGGCUGACAAAGCCAGGCAGAUCAAGGACCUUGAGCAGGAAAAGGACCACCUCAACCGAGCCAUGUGGUCGCUGCGGGAGAGGUCGCAGGUCAGCAGCGAGGCCCGCAUGAAAGACGUGGAGAAGGAGAACAAAGCCCUCCACCAGACGGUGACGGAGGCCAAUGGCAAGCUCAGCCAGUUGGAGUUUGAGAAGCGGCAGCUGCACAGGGACUUGGAGCAGGCCAAGG